AGUUUACAGGCAGAAGUUUUCGGAUGGAAGCUUGUAAACUUAGUGGCGGACGGGUGAGUAACGCGUGGGUAACCUGCCUUGUACUGGGGGACAACAGUUGGAAACGACUGCUAAUACCGCAUAAGCGCACGAAGAGACAUCUCCUAGUGUGAAAAACUCCGGUGGUACAGGAUGGGCCCGCGUCUGAUUAGCUGGUUGGCAGGGUAACGGCCUACCAAGUCUACGAUCAGUAGCCGGACUGAGAGGUUGAACGGCCACACUGGAACUGAGACACGGUCCAGACUCC
RNAcentral lists this ribosomal RNA (286 nucleotides) under uncultured Eubacteriales bacterium. RNAcentral describes it as "uncultured Clostridiales bacterium partial 16S ribosomal RNA". It matches the Rfam family "Bacterial small subunit ribosomal RNA", at positions 60 to 339 of the family's 1533-position model. Lineage: Bacteria; Bacillati; Bacillota; Clostridia; Eubacteriales. The record is from RNAcentral.